AGAGGUAUGUCUCAGCAGUGAAGAACCUGCCUGAUAAGCAUGAGGUCCUGAGUUCAAAACCUCAGUAUCACCA
This 73-nucleotide transfer RNA is filed under the name Dipodomys ordii (Ord's kangaroo rat). It matches the Rfam family "tRNA". Rfam says of the family: Transfer RNA (tRNA) molecules are approximately 80 nucleotides in length. Their secondary structure includes four short double-helical elements and three loops (D, anti-codon, and T loops). Lineage: Eukaryota; Metazoa; Chordata; Mammalia; Rodentia; Heteromyidae. The record is from Rfam by way of RNAcentral.